RNAcentral lists this ribosomal RNA (253 nucleotides) under uncultured bacterium. RNAcentral describes it as "partial 16S ribosomal RNA". It matches the Rfam family "Bacterial small subunit ribosomal RNA", at positions 524 to 776 of the family's 1533-position model. The record is from RNAcentral.
UACGUAGGGUGCAAGCGUUGUCCGGAAUCAUUGGGCGUAAAGAGCUCGUAGGCGGUUUGUCGCGUCUGCUGUGAAAACUCAGGGCUUAACCCUGAGCUUGCAGUGGGUACGGGCAGACUAGAGUGCGGUAGGGGAGACUGGAAUUCCUGGUGUAGCGGUGAAAUGCGCAGAUAUCAGGAGGAACACCGGUGGCGAAGGCGGGUCUCUGGGCCGUAACUGACGCUGAGGAGCGAAAGCAUGGGGAGCGAACAGG